AUACAAGUCAAGCAACACAAAAUAGAAUAGAAAACAAUCUCGUUUUGUUUUUUGGCCCCCCUUCAUUUCCCUUGUUUUCUUCACUCUUCAGUUUUCUUAUUAACUUUGAACACUUCCUUCUUCCCCUUCCUUCAAUUUCUUGUAUUCAAUUUGAUUCUGAAGCAUAGCUAGGGUUUUUUUUUCUCUCGCAUCAAUCAUACAGAGAGAGAGAGAGAGAGAGAGAGAGAGGCAGUCAUGGAUUGGGGAAAUGUUACAGCGGAGGAUCUGGUGGACGCUCUCCGGGAGGUGGACUGGUCGUCGCCGCCGCGUCCCUUGUCGGAGUUCUUCUCGCGGUUCACGGUGCCGAGAUCCUCCUCCAAAUGGGAUAGCCGCUUCAAAUGCAAUCUCUACUACUAUCGGACCAACUACUUCCUUUUGAUUGUUUCUGUUCUCAUAUUGGGUUUUCUUCGGAGGCCACUGGCUAUAGUAGCUGCGCUUCUUACCGCCCUUAGCAUCGCUUUCCUAAAUGACAGCUUUGCAGGUACCUUUAGUGAGAGAGUGACAAGAACAGUUAGGCAGUUUUCACCACAUUUAGCUGCCAAGAUGAGACCUCCCCUUACGCCUGUUAUACGGGGACGUCCAUCAUCUAAGAGAGCGAUUUAUAUAUGUGGUCGGCCACGUUGGGUGUUUGUCUUGAUAUUUUCUUCUGCAAGUUUCAUCCUUUGGUUUGUCUCUGCUGGUCUUCUAACUGUUUUGUGGGCACUUGCAUUUGGUCUUCUUGCUACCAUCCUGCAUGCAAGCUUUAGAACCCCUAACUUGAAAGCACGUCUAAACACAUUCCGAGAAGAAUUUCGUGCAGUAUGGCGCAAUUAUAGUGAGCUAUAGGCUGUAGCUUACAUAAUCUUUUUGGUUUUGGAUGUGAGUGCUUUCUACCUUCGUGUUUUCACAAGUGCUGCUGCUGUUCAGUUAAUGUAAUGUUCAAUUGGAAUGGACACUUGUGAAGAAUGCAUAUCAUUGGAAGUUAUCAGCAGAUAGUAAAUUUUCAAGGUUCUUGCGUUUGUAAAGUACACUGUUUUCAUUGCUUAUUAUAUGAAUAGGAGGCAUUUGGAGGUUUUUUAUAAUAUCAUUGACAAAUGCUGUAAGCUAGACUGUCACCACAGUAGCACCCCUAAUUGAAAAUUUAAUUGCAAAAUGUAUGAGAUAUGUGAUGCAAACUUGCAAGAUUCUGAGUUUCUUUUUUAUUAUUGAUUUUCUUUCAUUUUGAGCUA
This is an RNA transcript of Arachis duranensis, 1247 nucleotides long. It is a transcript of the gene named PRA1 family protein A1, with no coding region annotated. Lineage: Eukaryota; Viridiplantae; Streptophyta; Magnoliopsida; Fabales; Fabaceae. The transcript is spliced from 8 exons. The record is from RefSeq and is a predicted model, not a curated record.